UAUUUUAAGGGGUUUUGUAAGUUUCACUUUUAAGGCAUUAGGGGUUUUGUAAGUUUCACUUUUAAGGCAUUCUGUCAUAUAUAUAUAUAUAUAGUCUCUUUCAGUUGAGGGAUCCCUCAAAUAGUGUUAUUUGAGGGAUGAGGCACUCAACCGUUGGAUCUGUUUUAACGACAUUGUGUGGCUGAGAUUGAAUUACAUCUUUUAACCCGUUUUCACAAGCCUGACC
This 226-nucleotide long non-coding RNA is filed under the name Prunus persica (peach). Its description in RNAcentral is "long non-coding RNA (PPER_LNC008101)". The record is from RNAcentral. Lineage: Eukaryota; Viridiplantae; Streptophyta; Magnoliopsida; Rosales; Rosaceae.